RNAcentral lists this ribosomal RNA (238 nucleotides) under uncultured bacterium. Its description in RNAcentral is "partial 16S ribosomal RNA". It matches the Rfam family "Bacterial small subunit ribosomal RNA", at positions 15 to 245 of the family's 1533-position model. The record is from RNAcentral.
GAUCCUGGCUCAGGAUGAACGCUAGCUACAGGCUUAACACAUGCAAGUCGAGGGGCAGCAUGAACUUAGCUUGCUAAGUUUGAUGGCGACCGGCGCACGGGUGAGUAACACGUAUCCAACCUGCCGAUGACUCGGGGAUAGCCUUUCGAAAGAAAGAUUAAUACCCGAUGGCAUAGUUCUUCCGCAUGGCAGAACUAUUAAAGAAUUUCGGUCAUCGAUGGGGAUGCGUCUACUUAGG